RNAcentral lists this transfer RNA (72 nucleotides) under Parcubacteria group bacterium ADurb.Bin216. RNAcentral's name for it is "tRNA-Met". It matches the Rfam family "tRNA". From Rfam's summary of the family: Transfer RNA (tRNA) molecules are approximately 80 nucleotides in length. The record is from RNAcentral. RNAcentral also lists the same sequence under 2 other names.
AGCGGUUUAGAGGAGUAGUACCUCGCCAGUCUCAUAAGCUGGAGACCCUAGUGCAAUUCUAGGAACCGCAAC